Molecule: unclassified non-coding RNA, 1399 nt
Filed under: uncultured fungus
Lineage: Eukaryota; Fungi
Description: sequence contains 18S rRNA gene, ITS1, 5.8S rRNA gene, ITS2, 28S rRNA gene
Source: RNAcentral
AACUCAUCGUGGGCGAGACGCUGGACCGGAUCGCCCAGAAGCACGCGACGCCGGCGAGCUACUUCGCCGACGCGCGCCGGGAUCUUCAGGAAGCCACUGAAUUCGUGCGUGCGAAGAACCUGCUCCCGCUGCCGGCGCGGGACAACCUCCAGGUGAUCGAGACGCCCGAAUUCAUGCGGGGCAUCUACGCCGUGGGGGGAUUCGUCCAGGCGCCUGCGCUGGAGCCCCAACUGGGCGCCUUCUACUGGUUGACCCCGAUCCCCAAAGACUGGCCGCGCCAAGCGGAUCGACUCGAAACUUCGCGAGUACAACUUCUAUAGCUUGAAGAUCCUGACGAUUCACGAGGCCAUGCCGGGGCACUACGUGCAGUUCGAAUACGCCAACCAGGUUCAGCCGCAGUCGCGCCGCGUGCUGCGGGGGGUGUUCGGCAACGGUGCGUACGUCGAAGGCUGGGCCGUUUACUCGACCCAGAUGAUGCUCGACGAGGGGUAUCUGGGCGGCAGUCCGGAGCUGCGGCUCACCUUUCUGAAACAGCAGUUGCGCAUGCUGGCCAACACCAUUCUGGACAUUCGUCUCCAGACCCUCAAUAUGACCGACCAGGACGCCAUGGACCUGAUGGUCAAACAGGCGUUUCAGGAAACCGAAGAGGCAACGGCCAAGCUCAGACGAGCCCAGCUCUCCUCCUGCCAGUUGCCGACCUACUACGUAGGGUAGCGCGAUGGCUGCGCGUCAGGGAGCAGUAUCGCCAGACGAAGGGACUGGCUUCAAGUUGUCCGAUUUCCACCGCCAGGCACUGGCCCCCGGCGCAGUACCGCUCCCUGCGCUAGCGCGCACCCUGACAGGGAAGGUGUUGGGGAAGUAGGGGGGAGGGAAGUACAGUUGAACGGCCGGCCGGCCGUUCAACGUUGCAAUACCUGCAUCCCGCCACAUCCCUGACGCAUCAGUAAAACAAGUGACAGAGAGCGGGCCAAAGGAGGCUACAGGUGAAGCGAAGUGUUGUGAUGACCAUGAGUCUGAUAGCGAUUCUAGCCGUGACGUCGGGGUACGCGCAAGCGCAGUCGACGAUCACGGGGAAGAUAGGGUUCCCGUUCAAGGUCGGGACAAAAGCCCUGCAGGCUGGGCAGUAUGAUUUCGUGCUCGACACCGCAUCGGCGGUGGUCCGGGUCGUCCUCUGGGGGUAAGCACGUGGCCCUCGUGCCGAUCAUUACCCGGCUGUCAGGUGCGAUUCAUACAACGCCGAAGGACUCCCACCUUGUGUUCGACAAAGUCGGGGAUACCCACUUGCUGUCGGAGAUCUGGGUUCCGGGCCAAAAUGGGUACGUGUUGGCGAACACCAAGGGACCACACGAGCAUGAUGUCGUGGACGUUCCGCGCUAAGCGGGCCUCCGCAGCGGUGUGA